This 503-nucleotide ribosomal RNA is filed under the name uncultured bacterium. Its description in RNAcentral is "bacterial SSU rRNA". It matches the Rfam family "Bacterial small subunit ribosomal RNA", at positions 8 to 526 of the family's 1533-position model. The record is from RNAcentral.
AGAGUUUGAUCAUGGCUCAGGACGAACGCUGGCGGCGUGCUUAACACAUGCAAGUCGAGCGGUAAGGCCCCUUCGGGGGUACACGAGCGGCGAACGGGUGAGUAACACGUGAGCAACCUACCCUCAACUUUGGGAUAAGCCUCGGAAACGGGGUCUAAUACCGAAUAUCACCUUCUGUUUCAUGGCGGGGGGUUGAAAGUUCUGGCGGUUGGGGAUGGGCUCGCGGCCUAUCAGCUUGUUGGUGGGGUAAUGGCCUACCAAGGCGUCGACGGGUAGCCGGCCUGAGAGGGCGACCGGCCACACUGGGACUGAGACACGGCCCAGACUCCUACGGGAGGCAGCAGUGGGGAAUAUUGCGCAAUGGACGAAAGUCUGACGCAGCAACGCCGCGUGAGGGAUGACGGCCUUCGGGUUGUAAACCUCUUUCAGCAGGGACGAAGCGAGAGUGACGGUACCUGCAGAAGAAGGACCGGCCAACUACGUGCCAGCCGCCGCGGUAAUAC